CUACAGGGGUAUCUAAUCCUGUUUGCUCCCCACGCUUUCGCACCUCAGUGUCAGUAUUCGUUUAGGAGGCCGCUUUCGCCACGGGUAUUCCUCCAGAUAUCUACGCAUUUCACCGCUACACCUAGAAUUCUACCUCCCUCUACGAUACUCUAGUAUUUCAGUUUCAAAUGCAGUUCCUAGGUUAAGCCCAGGGAUUUCACAUCUGACUUAAAAAACCACCUACGUGCUCUUUACGCCCAGUAAUUCUGAUUAACGCUAGCACCCUCCGUAUUACCGCGGCUGCUGGCAC
Molecule: ribosomal RNA, 289 nt
Filed under: uncultured Buchnera sp.
Lineage: Bacteria; Pseudomonadati; Pseudomonadota; Gammaproteobacteria; Enterobacterales; Erwiniaceae
Description: partial 16S ribosomal RNA
Source: RNAcentral